UAUACUCCUGAUGCCUCACCAAGGUGCUAAUGCUUGUUUUUCUCCUCCUCCCUCCCUCUGCAAUCAUUUGUUUUUGAUUAAAAACAGCACGCCGAACAUCGAAGAGAGCUCAUCCCAGCAAACGGGCAGAGGGGAGGGCAUGAAGAUGUACAACAGUCCCAGGUGUGAAUAGAGUACGCAGGCCCCCGAGGACCCACCGUUUUUUAUUUUCCUGAAGGUAUGGUUGGAAUUGCACAUGAAGACACAGACUCAAUCCAUGUGUAAUGCUGGCUCCAGGGAUCAACCACUUCCAUCUGAAGUGUAAUGCUGGCUCCAGGGAUCAACCACUGUGCGGCCUCCCUAGCGCAUCAGCAUGACAACCGUCUGGACUGAGCUAAGUAGGGUACUUCUCUGGGGUCUUCAAGUGGGCAUCUUCCUUCCAUCCUUGGUGUUUCGUCAACUAGCCCACAACACCUUAAGAGGGCUCGACAGUGAUUCUGGCAUCCCAGUAUCACCGCCCUCCAUCCCCCACUAGGUUAAGCCCAGCUUCCUUUCUACGAUUCUUGAGGUCCCCAACCAGAAUCUUUUCGUCUCAACCAGAGAAAGUUGCUGCUCCUCUCUGCGGCUUCAAAUAAGUUCUUCACUAUGCGUCGCAACUGUUGACCACUCAAUCUGAUGUCUCUGAGAAACCAGGUUGUGGAGUAUGCCACAAAUCCUCGACAACCCACCUCCACUGAGUAAACCUGAACUCUCCAUCAUUGCUGUUCCGCUUCAGCAGCCAGUUGAGCAUACCGAAGUUUCUUCUUUUCAUAUGCCUCAUCCACAGCAUCCUCCCAUGGCACUGUUAACUCUGCCAGAUGAACAAAGCAUGCUGAUCCAGACCACAAGACAAUAUCAGGUCGAAGGUUAGUGGUGGCAAUCUAAGGUGGGAAAAUAAGCCAUUGUCCAACAUCUGCCAGCAUUUUCCAGUCUCUAGCAGCUUCCAGUUCCAAACCUCUCGCUUCCAAAUUUAUCCAGCUUCUUUUUGAGUGUUCCACCUAACCUAAUGCAAAACAGAGAUCUGUGUUUACUGUGUCCCACACUGUUUUCUCAGAAGCUCUUGGCAUUUAACUCCAGGCUUGUGCCCGUUGAGGUUCUUUUCCCUCUUACGCUGGUUCAUCUGACCGGGUUCACAAAGAUCAUUAGGUUCAUCACUAGUUGUGUUUAUGCAAGCCCUCCUCCCAUCUAUGACAGCAGUGCUGAGAUCCUGUGAACUGUGGUUUGCUUCCUGUCGCUGGAUUUCAUUUGGACUUGACUGACUUUGUAAAAAGUACUGAUCAAUGCAAAGCCUUUGUAACUUCUCCCUCAAGCAUUUCAUUAUCCCUUGGUGAAUCAAAAUACACCGAACUACAGCAGAGGAUGCAUCAGUUUAAAUAUUUGAAAUGUCUCUGUGUGUGGAAAAAGUAAAAAUGGAGAAACAAAACCGGCUAACCGUAAGAUUGCAUGAGGUAAUAUGUAUAGAAAAACAUUAACCAGUACUGUGAGAAUUGUCUCCAGACCUUGAUUACAACCCUGUAAACAUUAUUUAUUUUCACUUGCUGUACAAGUGUGAUGUUCGAAAAAAUAUCUAUUUUUAUAAUAUUGUUUUUUCACAGAACGU
Acipenser ruthenus (sterlet) is the source of this 1618-nucleotide long non-coding RNA. RefSeq lists it as uncharacterized. The record is from RefSeq and is a predicted model, not a curated record. The transcript is spliced from 3 exons. NCBI's taxonomy places the organism in Eukaryota, Metazoa, Chordata, Actinopteri, Acipenseriformes, Acipenseridae.